ACAAGCGGUGGAUGAUGUGGAUUAAUUCGAUGCAACGCGAAAACCUUACCUACCCUUGACAUGUACGGAACCUUUAAGAGAUUUAGAGGGUGCUCGAAAGAGAGCCGUAACACAGGUGCUGCAUGGCUGUCGUCAGCUCGUGUCGUGAGAUGUUGGGUUAAGUCCCGCAACGAGCGCAACCCUUGUCAUUAGUUGCUACGAAAGGGCACUCUAAUGAGACUGCCGGUGACAAACCGGAGGAAGUGGGGAUGACGUCAAGUCCUCAUGGCCCUUAUGGGUAGGGCUUCACACGUCAUACAAUGGUACAUACAGAGGGCUGCCAACCCGCGAGGGGGAGCUGAUCCCAGAAAGUGUAUCGUAGUCCGGAUUGAAGUCUGCAACUCGACUUCAUGAAGUUGGAAUCGCUAGUAAUCGCGGAUCAGCAUGUCGCGGUGAAUACGUUCCCGGGUCUU
This 452-nucleotide ribosomal RNA is filed under the name uncultured Herbaspirillum sp. RNAcentral's name for it is "bacterial SSU rRNA". It matches the Rfam family "Bacterial small subunit ribosomal RNA", at positions 925 to 1382 of the family's 1533-position model. Lineage: Bacteria; Pseudomonadati; Pseudomonadota; Betaproteobacteria; Burkholderiales; Oxalobacteraceae. The record is from RNAcentral.